Unclassified non-coding RNA from Pongo abelii (Sumatran orangutan), 148 nucleotides. It matches the Rfam family "Metazoan signal recognition particle RNA". Rfam says of the family: The signal recognition particle (SRP) is a universally conserved ribonucleoprotein. It is involved in the co-translational targeting of proteins to membranes. The record is from Ensembl. Lineage: Eukaryota; Metazoa; Chordata; Mammalia; Primates; Hominidae.
GCCGGGCGUGAUGGCAUACGCCUGUAAUCCCAGCUACUUGGGAGGCUGAGGCAGAAGAAUCGCUUGAACCCGGGAGGCCAAGGUUGCAGUGAGCCGAGGUUGCGCCACUGCACUCCAGCCUGGGUGACAGAGCGAGACUCCAUCUCAA